GGGAAUAUGGCUUAGUGGUAGAGUGUUUGCCUCUCAUGCACAAAUCCCUGGGUUCAAUUCCUCAGUACCA
RNAcentral lists this transfer RNA (70 nucleotides) under Dipodomys ordii (Ord's kangaroo rat). It matches the Rfam family "tRNA". From Rfam's summary of the family: Transfer RNA (tRNA) molecules are approximately 80 nucleotides in length. The record is from Rfam by way of RNAcentral. Lineage: Eukaryota; Metazoa; Chordata; Mammalia; Rodentia; Heteromyidae.